GACGAACGCUGGCGGCGUGCCUAAUACAUGCAAGUUGAGCGCUGAAGGUUGGUACUUGUACCAACUGGAUGAGCAGCGAACGGGUGAGUAACGCGUGGGGAAUCUGCCUUUGAGCGGGGGACAACAUUUGGAAACGAAUGCUAAUACCGCAUAAAAACUUUAAACACAAGUUUUAAGUUUGAAAGAUGCAAUUGCAUCACUCAAAGAUGAUCCCGCGUUGUAUUAGCUAGUUGGUGAGGUAAAGGCUCACCAAGGCGAUGAUACAUAGCCGACCUGAGAGGGUGAUAGGCCACAUUGGGCAUGAGACACGGCCCAAAAUCCUACGGGGGGCAGCAGUAGGGAAUCUUCGGCGAUGGAAGAAAGUCUGACCGAGCAACGCCGCGUGAGUGAAGAAGGUUUUCGGAUCGUAAAACUCUGUUAGUAGAGAAGAACGUUGGUGAGAGUGGAAAGCUCAUAAAGUGACGGUAACUACCCAGAAAGGGACGGCUAACUACGUG
This 497-nucleotide ribosomal RNA is filed under the name uncultured bacterium. RNAcentral's name for it is "partial 16S ribosomal RNA". It matches the Rfam family "Bacterial small subunit ribosomal RNA", at positions 28 to 507 of the family's 1533-position model. The record is from RNAcentral.